UACGUAGGGACCAAGCGUUGUUCGGAUUUACUGGGCGUAAAGGGCGCGUAGGCGGCAAUUCAAGUCAGCUGUGAAAUCUCCGGGCUUAACUCGGAACGGUCAGCUGAUACUGCUUUGCUAGAGUGCAGAAGGGGCAAUCGGAAUUCUUGGUGUAGCGGUGAAAUGCGUAGAUAUCAAGAGGAACACCGGUGGCGAAGGCGGCGAUCUGGACGAUGACUGACGCUGAGACGCGAAAGCGUGGGGAGCAAACAGG
RNAcentral lists this ribosomal RNA (253 nucleotides) under uncultured bacterium. RNAcentral describes it as "partial 16S ribosomal RNA". It matches the Rfam family "Bacterial small subunit ribosomal RNA", at positions 524 to 776 of the family's 1533-position model. The record is from RNAcentral.